CUUGGAUGAAAAUUCAGAUAAAAGGUGCUUGUAACAGUCACCAAACAACAGAUGACAGAAAUAAGACCUGUUCUGUUCAUUUCCCCAGUUUAGCAUGUGUAUGUGUGUUCUCCCACAUCUGUGUUCCCUUGAAUUCUUGUAAGGUGCCGCCAGCCUGGGCUGCUGCAAUCCGUGUAAUCCUUGAGCUGCCAUUCACUGACACAGAGCAUCUUCUUUGGAAGCCACAGGAUGCAUCCCUUGCUCUGAGGCAGAACUCAGAAUGAUUUUAGGUACUGAUGAUUCCUGGUACAGGAAGGAGUUUGACAUCUUUGACUCAAAAAGUCACUUGGAAAUUGCCAGAACAGGUCAUUAGUAGUGGACCUAUUACAUGAAUCAGAGAGUUGGGAGAGGUCAUUCACCAUUCCUAAGGUAAUUUAUGUUUUGAAAAUAUAAGCUGUAUUUUAUUUGAAAACAUUCAUUAAACAACAUCAAGAUUCAAUUCCUUUGGUGUGAUCAUAGAAUCAUAGAACAGCCCAGGUUGGAAAGGCUCUUAAAAAUCAUCAAGUUCCAGACCCUGUGCCAUGGGCAAGGUUGCUCAGGGCCCCAUCCAACCUGGCCUUAAUGUACUGGCACUGCAAAAUGUGAUCAGCAAAGCAAAUCCUAAGUUUAGAGAAGUUACAGAACUGGAAAUUAAGGAAAACUUUCUGAUUUUUUUUGUAACUUAUAAACCUUUAAACAUGUCAACAAGCAAAAAAGAAGUGAUACUUAAAAUAAGGGGCUGAUAAAUUACUAUAUAACUGGACAUUUACUAAGUUCAUUUGAACUGAUAGUAACAUUUUCUGUUUGUCACAGACCUGUUGCUAAGCUUUUUACAUUAUGUAUUGGUAGCCUUUUAUCUACAAAGCUUAUUAACAUCACUUCUUUGGGGAUUCAACCUCACUACCACUGCUUGGGCUUUCCCUUACCUGAUCCACUACUUUAGUGUUGACUGUAAAUUCUGUUCUUCUGGUUAGUUGUAUAUUACCAUUCUUUAUAGAACUCAAAGCUUUCACAGCUUUGGGCAUUGACUUUUAAAAGUUACCAUUUUCUGGAACUAAAUUUAAAUGUACAAUUGCAGAAGUUUGAACACUCCAGUGUUUUAAAUGGUAUUUAUUUGGUUAUGAGCAUAAAAGUGACCAGUACUAGUCAUUGGGUUUUGUAGCUUCUUUGUAUUUUGCCCUAAUUUUAGUGAUGUAUAUUGCUUUUCCAGUGACAGCAGUCAUGUACCAGAGAUGACUAUUUUGG
This 1263-nucleotide long non-coding RNA is filed under the name Junco hyemalis (dark-eyed junco). Its description in RNAcentral is "lncRNA (ENSJHYG00000001703.1)". Lineage: Eukaryota; Metazoa; Chordata; Aves; Passeriformes; Passerellidae. The record is from RNAcentral.